AUUCCAGCUCUGUAAGCGUAUACCAAAGUUGUUGCAGUUAAAACGCUCGUAGUCGGACGUUGGCGGGCGCCUCGAGUCGGCCUCACGGUCGAUCUUGUUGGCGACCGCCUUUGUGGAGGGGGGCUUAGGUCGGUGCUUUAUUGUCAUCCCUUUGUCGCUGCCACCGUUUACUGUGAAAAAAUUAGAGUGUUCAAAGCGGGCGUUUGCCAUGAAUACAUUAGCAUGGAAUAAUAGAAUAGGACCUGGUCCUGUUUUGUUGGUUUGUGAGUAUCAGGUAAUGAUUAAGAGGGACGGUUGGGGGCAUUUGUAUUCCGGCGUCAGAGGUGAAAUUCUUGGAUUGCCGGAAGACAAACAGCUGCGAAAGCGUCUGCCAAGGACGUUUUCAU
RNAcentral lists this ribosomal RNA (386 nucleotides) under Ceramium sp. Its description in RNAcentral is "partial small subunit ribosomal RNA". It matches the Rfam family "Eukaryotic small subunit ribosomal RNA", at positions 582 to 973 of the family's 1831-position model. Lineage: Eukaryota; Rhodophyta; Florideophyceae; Ceramiales; Ceramiaceae. The record is from RNAcentral.